Helianthus annuus (common sunflower) is the source of this 953-nucleotide long non-coding RNA. RefSeq lists it as uncharacterized. The transcript has 2 exons. The record is from RefSeq and is a predicted model, not a curated record. NCBI's taxonomy places the organism in Eukaryota, Viridiplantae, Streptophyta, Magnoliopsida, Asterales, Asteraceae.
AUGUCUAUGUGGGCUUGUAAUAUUUUGUGGGUACAAAGGGCAUUUUGAUUUUGGUAACCGACCCUUGAUACGUUUUCCCUCGGAUCACCACACCCAUGGCUAUGUUCUUCUUCAAGCAUGGACUAACCCUCCACUGGUAACCUCCCCAUUCUCAUUCACUGUGACUCCGAGAAAAGCCCCACCCGCCUGAUUGCGAAUCACCUCCGCUCCAAGAAACCCGCAAGUGAGCCCAGCCUCCACAGGGGUUAUGUGUUGCUCCAUGUCAGCCUCCACAGCCUAGACCGGUCAACCGCACUUUCCCUUGUGAUUUUUCAAGGAUCGCUUUUGCAAGAUCUCUGAGGGAACCGAGAUCUCAAAUCCAUCUUCACCGGUAUACAUGAGUAGGCUUGAAUGAUAAGGCAACAACAUACUUGAAGAAUGCAGCGCUGCAAAAGUUAACUUGUUGCUAUCAACUACGGAGAGAAGACAUCACUUCAUCCUUCUUUAACAAAUUCGAGCAUCUCUUCCAUAUUUUAAUUAACCAUGGUUAGUUGUAAUUUGAGUCCAACCCUUCUUAAGUGGCAUGUGUAAGUCAUAUGCUACUUAUUUUAACAAAAAAAUGAUCUGAUCAGUUUAUGCAAAUCCUUGUCAACUGCGACCUGCAUUAUUUAGAUUUCAAUGGCUGUUUUUAUCUUUUCAAAUGCAUGCUCUCCAUUCGAUAUGCAGUCAAAGAACAAAUGUUUGCAGAUUUACUCUAAACUCGAGUUCAGAUUUAAACGAAUGAUUUUAUUUAAUAAACCCCACAAAUCAUUAUUUGUAUAUUUGAAUACAACGGUUACAUAGUAAAUGAAAUGAAACUCGCCCUUUCUAGAAAAUAAGCCAGUGUUACCAGAAAAGAAUUAGAAAUUCAUGUGGAACCCAGCUACAAUGAAGAAUGUUGCAAUGAACAAAAACUAAUUAGCUGUAAAAAAAAA